GGUGUAGAUAAUAGCCAGGUGUAGAUAAUAGCCAGGUGUAGGCACCGGCCAGGUGUAGAUAAUAGCCAGGUGUAGAUAAUAGCCAGGUGUAGGCACCGGCCAGGUGUAGAUAAUAGCCAGGUGUAGAUAAUAGCCAGGUGUAGGCACCGGCCAGGUGUAGAUAAUAGCCAGGUGUAGAUAAUAGCCAGGUGUAGGCACCGGCCAGGUGUAGGCAACAGUAAAGUGGUUGACAACAACCUGUAAUAGACGGCAAUCACGUGGUAGCAAACAGCCAAGGUGUCGGCAAGAGCUGUACGGGGUUCGGCAGUAGCCGCCAAUGACCAUGAACCAGAUGCGUCAACACCGUGAGUAGCGGCCGGUCGCACGUGGCACGGACCGUGCUGUGCGCGGCUUCACGUUCCGAUGGACGCCCCCCACCCACCCCCCCAGAGCUUCGCAACGUCGUCGUUGCGUUUCACAAGCGCAGACCGCCGCUGCCACACGCGGCCUUCACAACGACCGAGAGUCGCAAGGGCGAGAAGAGUCCUCGCCGAUGUCGGCUCCAGUCGACAUCUGUGUUGGCGCCGGGGAGAGCCCCCCCAAGUUC
Molecule: non-coding RNA, 586 nt
Organism: Petromyzon marinus (sea lamprey)
Lineage: Eukaryota; Metazoa; Chordata; Hyperoartia; Petromyzontiformes; Petromyzontidae
Source: RefSeq, a predicted model, not a curated record